UACAGCCAUAUCAUGUUGAAACACCAGUUCCCGUACAAUCACUGAAGUUAAGCAAUGUUGAGCCUGGUCAGUAUCAAGAUGGAUAACUGCUUGGGAAUAUCAGGUGCUGUAAG
Molecule: ribosomal RNA, 113 nt
Filed under: Acanthosepion pharaonis
Lineage: Eukaryota; Metazoa; Mollusca; Cephalopoda; Sepiida; Sepiidae
Source: RNAcentral